RNAcentral lists this long non-coding RNA (2449 nucleotides) under Lepisosteus oculatus (spotted gar). Its description in RNAcentral is "lncRNA (ENSLOCG00000022550.1)". The record is from RNAcentral. Lineage: Eukaryota; Metazoa; Chordata; Actinopteri; Semionotiformes; Lepisosteidae.
CGAUGGAUAGAUGACCCUUGUAUGUGAUAGAUCAACAAGGUAUUGCGUAUUAAUGCAAAAGGGAAAAAUGUCUUUUGUUCUUGCCACUUUUGUUCUCAGACUCCUUUUUUCUGUGUGGCAGUCAAAGGGUUAAACUGCUAUUCUCCAUUAUGAGCAAACAAACACUCUGAUGGGGGUCCAUCAAUUUCUAGCCCUCCUGAUAUUGCUUUUCAGCUCUCCGAGAGGGAAGUUGUUGACCCCAAAAAUAUACAGCAUAGAAUAAUGCCUGCGAUUCUAAUAGAAGACACUAAAUGCCUUUGAAUGCUGGUGGGUUUUUUUUUUGUUCAUUUGGAUAAGUUAUAAACCUCCUGGUGAUUAUUUUUACUCCAGAUAAAGGAAGAAUCAUGCAAUUACACCUUAUGCUAGCAUCACCACAAAAGGAUAUUUUGUCUCAGUGGAGUACUCAAAUCAGAAACCUCUCAUGACAACGCUGUCUUCUGACUCGAGCGUAAACUACUGCAAGAGGGUUAAGCAUGGAGAUGGGAGAAAGACGGGCCUGUUUUAUUGGAACCAUAAACCUGCUGACGUCGCUUCUGUCUCCCCAGAAAGCCCUCCUCACAGGAGCCAUCCUCAGAACAUGCGUGUCUUGUGUAUGGCAAAGGAGUGGUGACCAACACGAAGGUCAUGAGGACGUCCUGCUGCCCGCUGUGGCUGUGCCCAUGGCAUUCGGCAGCCUGAUUACAAGCAGCGUAAGGAGUUGACAAGCGCCACUUAGUUACAGUUGGAUUAUGCACGACAGCUAAUCCCUGAAGAUAUGAGCCCUGCAAUUAGAUAAUGUGUUAGUUGCAUUAAAAAUAGAAGAGGAGUUAAAACCUACGGGGUUUUUGUAGCAUCUCAUGUUGUGAAGUGAAUGCUAAUUAUCAGAACUUUAUUGAGCUAGCUGAUAAUAACUAAUUAGUAUGGGCCUAAAGAGUGGGUGGCAUAGUGGGCAAUGGUUAUGAUUGCUGCCUUUCAGCACUGAGGCCCUGGGUUCAAUUCUGGACCUGGGGGCUGUCGGUGUGGAGUUUAAAUGUUCUCCCUGUGUUCACUGUGUGGGUUUUGUCUCGGCUUCAGUUUCCUCCCACAGUCCCACAGAAAAUGAUGGAUGUCUACAGAAUGUACGGCAGUCUAACGAGUUAAAAAAUAAUCGGAUGAAAGAGAUUAAUCCAUCCUUUAAGAUUCUUUAGAACCGGAAAAAAACAGCAGGACAGUAUCCCAACAGUGAAUCUGACACUUUUCAAUCAUUUAAAAAUGCAACAGCUUAUCCUGCAUUUGUUAUAUGGGCAGAGGCUUUUUUUUUAUAUAAAAAGGAGAGGCGAACAAGAUUCUUUUUCAGUUUAAGUGUUUUGGUCAUGUUUAGGCAAACACACAAGCGAAAAAUAGAAAAUGUUUGGUAUAUUUUAAAAUAAUCACGUUAACCAUGGGAAACGUUUGGCUAAACUCAUAAGCCUUUUGCCUUUGAAAAAUGAUUGCUUUCAAAAUUAUGUUUUACAUAUGCUGCAUUGGGCUUUUUAAAAAAAAAAAAACUGUUGCUGUACUAUGCCCAGAUGAUCCAGUUCUCCGUUCUGGGCUAAAGCAGGCACCCCUACCUUAAUAAGGAUGAGAGCAUGUGAGACGCUAGUCUCAGGUGAGCUAGGCAAUAUGGCUUUUCUCUUGUGAUUCACUGAUCUCCGGUCUCCUGAAUCACCCUUGAGACAGAAACGAAAGCAGCGCAAUGUUAACAGGAAAGUCAUGCAAGAAUUACAGGCAGUACCUGACGGGUUGAUCGCAGCCUCAUUCAGCCGUAGAUGAGGCACUGCCUCUUUCUUUUCCACUGUCUGAAGUCACGAUCCAGCUGAAUGGCUGAUGAUACAGAAGCCCUCUGAACGUUCGUCGGAGCCGCUCAGAGCUUUAAAGCCUGAGCCCCACACGUUCUGAACACCCCUCAAGUUCUGCGGCUGGAGGUUACUUUCCCAACGUCUUCGUAUCCUUCAGCUGACUUUGCCUUUCAUCAGAUGGGCUCUGUAAAGGAAGGGAAAGCACCUGCCUCCUGUAAGGUCACAGAUAAAAUAGGCGAGAGAAUCAUCCCUAAUGAAUCAAAAUGUUGGAUCAGAGGACUUUCAAACGGUGCCUUGGUAUCAUUUGAAAUAUAUUUUGUGUUGUUUUAAUUGGGGGGGAUAAUCAUACUAGGAACUGUUUUUUCAAAGGUUUUGUUGAAUUGCCUUCUGUGCAUAUCUAUCCAUUAACACCUGUCAGGACAGCGUUUAAAGAGCAAGCGUUUACCUUUUCAGUAGUCAAGGUUAACCGUGCCAUGCUGAUGAGCACUAACUGAGGGAGAAACAGCUGUCUGCGUCUGCUAAGUUUGACUAUUUAUAUACUGUUUUUAAGUCUGUUUUGAGGGCUCUGUUUUCUAAUAUUGUUGAAUGAUGAGCCAAUUAAUAAAAAGUCAGAG